Non-coding RNA from Oryza sativa Japonica Group (Japanese rice), 2660 nucleotides. The record is from RefSeq and is a predicted model, not a curated record. Lineage: Eukaryota; Viridiplantae; Streptophyta; Magnoliopsida; Poales; Poaceae.
CCAACCCAAGCCGCCAUCCUCCCCACUGCCCACGCACGGCCACGCCGUUUCUGCUUCGUCUUCAAUCUGACGUUUUUUUCUCCAUGAAAGCAGCAACGUAUCCUCCAAUUCCCAUCACAGAUCUAUCAUCUCCCUCAUCAAUCUUACUGUUUAAUGCCAAAAAAUGAAACUACCUUGAUGAUCUGAAUCCGUUUCCCAAAUUUCCGGUGACCUCUCAUCUCCCAGCUAGUUUACCUUCCUCCUCCACAGAUACCACUGAGGAUGAUUAGCCGUUUCUUUUCUUCUUCUUCCAAUCUACUCACUAAUUCCUUCCUCUCCUAAAUCAUUUUUUUCCAUCAAUGACAAAAAUUGAAUCACCAUGAUGAGCUAGAUCCAUUUUUCCAGCACAUAUGGCUCCUCCACUUUUUACCGUCCACCUCCCGUGUCCUGUAUAAUUGCCAGUGCCAUGCCCUCUUCUAUUUCUUUUACAUGGAUAGGUCAGCGCCCUGCCAAACCGCUUCACUGCCAUCGCCUUGGGAGAUUUUGCAGGCUCUGUCAUCGCAGCCCGGUUGAGUUCAGCCACGGUAGCGCUUGCAAACAGCCACACCAUGUGCUAUCCAUGUGAAAGCAUGAUCGAGGACAUGACCACCUCGUCGGGAGCUUCCUCAACCGCCGAUGCGCCGCUGCUAUGCUCCUCUGCGCUGUCGUCUUCACCUCAUCAUUGUCGUUCCCAUUCCAUCACACCACCAUCUCUAGAGUUUGUGCCGUCAUCAUACGAGCAUCAUGCUGCCACUUCUCUGUCAUGGUUGAGAGGCCAUCACUCUGCUGCUCUUCUGUUCUUCCAUGUCGGGUUGCUGUCGUGUGCACAUAAAGACGCCACUGCCUCGUCGUCUAGCACAUAUUGUUGCUGCCAUGUCUCCACUAUCGUGGUUGACGCCGUUGCCGAAGAGGUUGCUGCUGCAGGUGAAGAUUUCGUCUGAAGAUCCUGUGGGUAAAGGCAAGUGUACCCUUGAACAUGUUGAUCCUAACUUGCAAAAUUAUAUUGUUUUAAAUUAUAUGCAUGAUUUGUUUCACAAAUUAUUGUGUGGGUAGUUAUAACCUACUUGUUAAUUAUUCCAUGCCUUUGAAUUAUUGUUGAUUACCUUUCAUGCCAUGUCACCCUAGUUUUCAUGUGAGUCAUAUAUGGGUAUGGACUCAGGUACUUAGAUUUGCUUAGCCCUACUCACACUAGUUUACAAGCAAAAUAUAAUAUUGACUAAUGAUCUACUUAUCACUGUUUUUAUAUAAAUUGUGUGGCUGUGUGCUAUCUUCUUGGUGGCAUGUGUUGCACCGUGUGUAGUAAUGAACUGGUGGAAAAUGUUUUAGACCGGGGCGAUGGUGGAUCUGUGUGAACCUGGGAGGUAAGCCAUCUGUGUGCGUGCUUAUCAUUGACCUGUGUGGUCGAUUGAGCGGUGUGCUCCAGAGCUGUGUGCUCCAUUUUUGUUGUGUGCUUGAGGUCCUUAGUUUAAGCAAGUCGCCCUGGUCAGUUAAGGACUUCACUUCGUGCGCCAUUGAUCUGAGCCUUACCAUGCAACCACAUGUUUUCAUGGGAAGGACCUAGCUUAGUACACUGCUUAGCUUUGGCACCGGCGGCCCAGGUGGCUAGAUGAUAGGUUUUUGGUUUGUACCAUGGGAACUUUCACCUGUGUGGUGUAGGGAGGACCGCCCAUGGGGGAAGCCGGUGUUAGGGCGAGGUAGGGGAAACGCUUUGUUACACUUUGGUGUUUAGCGGCACCGAACUGUAUCUUGUGGGUAAAGUUGUACAACCUCUGCAGAGUGUCAAUCUAUUCGAAUAGCCGCGUCCUCGGUUAUGGACAUGCUCGGUGACUUCACAUGAGGGGUAGAUUUGUGAAAGUUUUAAUUUUGGGAAAGAGUUGUGUGCAGGAAUUAAUGAAUAUAGAUGUGUUGUCCUGUGUGGACAAAGAACCUUUUGGUCUUGUGUGGACACAGUAUCCUUUUUGGGUUGGUUGGUUGGUUAAAAAUGUUGUGAUUGCAAAUGUUGCUUAAAUUAAAUUUAUAUCUAUUUAUUAUAUUUAAAUUUGCAAAUGCCUUUAUGCAAAUGAACCCUAACCGUCCUUUGAAGCCUUGUAUCAUAUAUUGCAUAUUCCCGUACACUUGCGAGUACUUUAUGUGCUCACCCUUGUUGUCUCACCAAAUUUCAGAGAAGGUCAGUUGUUUCUAGAAGUUCUGUUGCUAAGAACGUCGAAUAGGUUGCGUGCCCCAGUCGAUUGCCUGUGGUGUGUCGUUGGUGCCUCUCGCCUCUUUUUCCUCUGUUUAUCUCUGUUUGACCCUGCGUGGCAAAGAAAUUAUAAAAUCUGGUCAUAAGACCAAUGUAAAAAUUAUAUUUGUUUCCUAUUUAUUAAUAUAAUCGUGAUGUGAUUGUGAUAUUAUCUUUUGUUACUGUGUGUGCUAGCGUUGAUCUGGGACUAGCACAUUACACACAGAGGGAUCGUAAUUGGGGUCCCGACAAGGGCCAAAAGAUAGCUGAUCUAGGUUGGCUUUCUCCUCAUUGACAGAUUGCCGAUUGACUUGGAUGGUUGCCUCUAUAUCUUUUCUUUCUCGCCUAUUGGCUAUCCUUUGUCUUGCUUUCUCCAACUUGAAUUGAUGUUGUUCAAGAUAAAAAGCUGGAGUUAGCGUAGUGG